This 505-nucleotide ribosomal RNA is filed under the name uncultured bacterium. Its description in RNAcentral is "bacterial SSU rRNA". It matches the Rfam family "Bacterial small subunit ribosomal RNA", at positions 791 to 1301 of the family's 1533-position model. The record is from RNAcentral.
UAGUCCACGCCGUAAACGAUGGACACUAGCUGUCGGGCCCUUGCGGCUCGGCGGCCAAGCGAAAGUGAUAAGUGUCCCACCUGGGGAGUACGUUCGCAAGAAUGAAACUCAAAGGAAUUGACGGGGGCCCGCACAAGCGGUGGAGCAUGUGGUUUAAUUCGAUGAUACGCGAGGAACCUUACCAGGGCUUAAAUGGGAAAUGACAGGAGCAGAGACGCUCUUUUCUUCGGACAUUUUUCAAGGUGCUGCAUGGUUGUCGUCAGCUCGUGCCGUGAGGUGUCAGGUUAAGUCCUAUAACGAGCGCAACCCCUGUUGUUAGUUGCCAGCGAGUAAUGUCGGGAACUCUAGCAAGACUGCCGGUGCAAACCGUGAGGAAGGUGGGGAUGACGUCAAAUCAUCACGGCCCUUACGUCCUGGGCUACACACGUGCUACAAUGGUAGGUACAAUGAGCAGCCACUGCGUGAGCAGGAGCGAAUCUAUAAAACCUAUCACAGUUCGGAUCGG